RNAcentral lists this small RNA (49 nucleotides) under Streptomyces sp. H-KF8. RNAcentral describes it as "raiA-hairpin RNA". It matches the Rfam family "raiA-hairpin RNA". The record is from Rfam by way of RNAcentral. Lineage: Bacteria; Bacillati; Actinomycetota; Actinomycetes; Kitasatosporales; Streptomycetaceae.
CGUCUGGUCCGAGGAUCCGGUGCUGACCGGAUCCUGGUGCAAAAAGGGA